GAGCUUGCUCCUUGGGUGGCGAGUGGCGGACGGGUGAGGAAUACAUCGGAAUCUACUUUUUCGUGGGGGAUAACGUAGGGAAACUUACGCUAAUACCGCAUACGACCUACGGGUGAAAGCAGGGGACCUUCGGGCCUUGCGCGAUUGAAUGAGCCGAUGUCGGAUUAGCUAGUUGGCGGGGUAAAGGCCCACCAAGGCGACGAUCCGUAGCUGGUCUGAGAGGAUGAUCAGCCACACUGGAACUGAGACACGGUCCAGACUCCUACGGGAGGCAGCAGUGGGGAAUAUUGGACAAUGGGCGCAAGCCUGAUCCAGCCAUACCGCGUGGGUGAAGAAGGCCUUCGGGUUGUAAAGCCCUUUUGUUGGGAAAGAAAUCCAGCCGGCUAAUACCUGGUUGGGAUGACGGUACCCAAAGAAUAAGCACCGGCUAACUUCGUGCCAGCAGCCGCGGUAAUACGAAGGGUGCAAGCGUUACUCGGAAUUACUGGGCGUAAAGCGUGCGUAGGUGGUUGUUUAAGUCUGUUGUGAAAGCCCUGGGCUCAACCUGGGAACUGCAGUGGAAACUGGACAACUA
Molecule: ribosomal RNA, 574 nt
Filed under: Stenotrophomonas sp. 16(2010)
Lineage: Bacteria; Pseudomonadati; Pseudomonadota; Gammaproteobacteria; Lysobacterales; Lysobacteraceae
Description: bacterial SSU rRNA
Rfam family: Bacterial small subunit ribosomal RNA
Source: RNAcentral